GCUGUUGCCGCCCCUUCCCUUCCUGGAGCAACCUGUGCUUUUGAAAAAAUGACCAUGCCGAAGGGGAACUAACGCUCCCAGCCUGCAGCAGCUCUUGUCAAUCUGAUUUUUAAAUGAUGGAGGAGGUUUGAGGAUGAGGCGCAGGGUGGCGUUACCUUCUCCCUCUCUGGGACGAUGCAAAGAUCAAGGGAACAGGAGGAGAGGAUCUUCUGAAUGUGAGCACAUUCACAGCCCCAGAGGACAGAGAGGCAUUUAAAGUGAACUGGAACAAACCUGCAACAUCAGGUGCGUUCUGCCUUCAAAAAUAGCUGCCAGUUAGAAAGGGUUAUUUACAUAUUGAUUUCAUGCUAACUUUGUAAUGGAAUGUGCUGCCUGCCUGCCUGAGCGGGCUGCCUGAGACCUAACAACUGUCAUCAUAAUUUUUUCUAAAAAUACAGUCAAGAGAAAACACUCAGUGAACCCCCCACUGGAAAGUGGCUGCUGAAGACCCUGCAUCCCAAACUUACUCCCUAGACCACAGCCAAGGGCAAGGAUACUCAGCAUGCACCGCUGAGGGAACAUUUCACAGCUACAGCUGACCCUGCCUACCUCCAGCCAGCCUGCACUCCAGUUUUUUUUUUUUAAUCAUUCUAGAAAACCUGUCUUGUGCUAAGGCCUGACGGAGCUGAUUCGGUUGUGAUCUUGGGCAUAUGGAUGGCAUAUUUGCUGCGAGCUAGCCGGCCUCCACUGCUGGGGACAAAUCUUUCAUUCAUGAAGAGGAGCUUGUUAGGCCAACUCGGGGACUCUAAAGCCACUUAAUUAAAUUGUGGAAAGUC
Long non-coding RNA from Vicugna pacos (alpaca), 815 nucleotides. RefSeq lists it as uncharacterized. Lineage: Eukaryota; Metazoa; Chordata; Mammalia; Artiodactyla; Camelidae. The record is from RefSeq and is a predicted model, not a curated record.